Molecule: ribosomal RNA, 253 nt
Filed under: uncultured bacterium
Lineage: Bacteria
Description: partial 16S ribosomal RNA
Rfam family: Archaeal small subunit ribosomal RNA
Source: RNAcentral
UACCAGCACCCCGAGUGGUCGGGACGAUUAUUGGGCCUAAAGCAUCCGUAGCCGGUUCUGCAAGUCCCCCGUUAAAUCCAGCUGCUCAACAGAUGGGCCGCGGAGGAUACUACAGAGCUAGGAGGCAGGAGAGGCAAGCGGUACUCAGUGGGUAGGGGUAAAAUCCGUUGAUCCAUUGAAGACCACCAGUGGCGAAGGCGGCUUGCCAGAAGGCGCUCGACGGUGAGGGAUGAAAGCUGGGGGAGCAAACCGG